Mugil cephalus (flathead mullet) is the source of this 1542-nucleotide long non-coding RNA. RefSeq lists it as uncharacterized. Lineage: Eukaryota; Metazoa; Chordata; Actinopteri; Mugiliformes; Mugilidae. The record is from RefSeq and is a predicted model, not a curated record. The transcript has 3 exons.
UGGAAGUCAGAGAUGAAGCGAUGCUCAUCUUCACCUGAAAUACGGUAAAAACAAAACAUGAAUAUAGAACUAGGGAUCAGGGGAAACACUGUUCUUCAUAACUGAGCUCCACGCAGGUUUGUUGCUGCCUCCCUCCCAUCAGAUAAAACCACAGCCGCUCCACGUAUACAUAUGUUUACAUUCAGGUUCCUGAGCACAUAACACAGAUGACGAUUAAAGAGAAGAUUAGGACGUCUGAUAGAAUAAUUCACAUCUUGUUCUGCGUCGUCUCAAUCGUGGAUCCGAUCAGGAACGCAGAUGAAAAAAAACGGGAACAUAAUCCUCGUCAAAACAAGACGAGAUGAACGAGAUGAACGAGAUGAACGAGACGACAAGGUUGUGUCCUCUGUGCUGUUGGACAUGUCUCAGCGACACCUGAGCCACGGUUUGUUAGUUUUCAAUGCACCUGUUCAGACGAAAUAAAGGGUUUGGGUCUCGGGUGCAGGUGGUAUCACAGGAUCAAGUACAAGAAGACAUUUUAUUGUCAGUAUAAAGUUUUCACAGUAGAUAAAAAAAAGUGCUAAAUAAAUACAAGACUGUUUAUGUCUGUUCAGGGUCUCAGUCAUCCAGGUCAUGAGGACUGAAAUGACGUUUGAAGGAAGGCAGCUGGACUUGUAGAGUUUCUUCCAGAGUUUUUCCUGGUUUUAACUGUGGUUUUAUUUCUGUUUUGUUUGUUUUCAUUGGUUUUAUGUGUCUGUUUCUAAAAACGGCAUAUUUUUAUGUCUUUGUUCGGCUUUUUGCGAUGUUGAUUUGGAAAGUGCUAUAGAAAUAAGGGCUAUUAUCAUUGUUUCCUGCACGUUAAAGCCUGUGUGUGUGUAAUGUAAAGAAUGUAAAGAUAUUUCCAUACUAUAUCCUGGUUUCCUGCUGUGUACCAUUAGAGAAGUGAAUCAAUUCCCACUGAAUUUUCAAUGUAUUACACCCAAAUAUUGUCUUUUUCCACUUUCACCUGUUCCACUCAAACCUGUAUUUGAUCCUUCUCUCCGCGCUGUGAUGGAGCAGGAGGUCGUAUGUCCACAAACGAAAAAGCAUCAAUUUAUUUAACACGUCCCGCUAUAUAAAUUCUGGGCAAAGCUCCACGUGAAUUUCCACCCAGAACAGGACGAUUUAGUUCCACCAGAACAGAGAGGAAAUAGACGGCGGAGAGUCACGAAGCCGCAGGGUUGACGGGGCUGUUUGCUCUCUGCAAUAAAACGGCACAUUUCCCCGACUGGCUGUAACCUCCUGCUGAUGGCUGUGUUUGCUUUGGCGCUCUGGACAGGAUGUGACAGCCCCAACUACACCUCACCCCACCUCACCCCAAACCAUGGGACGCAAGCACACAUGCACAGACAUAUAUAACAAAAUGAUUACUGGUCAACUGAGGACACUUUGAGAGACUUUCAGCAUGUUAAUAUACUGAUAUGUUACCUUUAGCACAGCUGGGAAUUGAUAUCAUUACAGGCUUUUUGCAAUAAUAAUAAUAUUUAGGACAUACCCAAAAUAAAUUGAACAUUUUGGGGCUCA